This 127-nucleotide small nucleolar RNA is filed under the name Canis lupus dingo (dingo). The record is from RNAcentral. Lineage: Eukaryota; Metazoa; Chordata; Mammalia; Carnivora; Canidae.
GUUGAGGUCUAUCCCAAUUGGCUUUUUCUGCAGACCUACAUUACUGGAGAUGCAUCAUCAAAUAAUAACUGUUGUUCACUUUACUCACAGAACUAUUAGAUCUUUUGAAUAGAACUAUAAGACAGAG